AAAAAAAAACUUUCUAUGAGUGGGAUGCUGUGCUGUUUGUUUAAAGGAAGGUUGUCUUUACCUGCAAAUGGAUUCUGAUGUACACUGUCCUUUUGUUUUAUUAGUUUUUUAUGGGCACAAGCAGAUUUCCAAUAAUUUAGGGAUCAUGUUUUCUAUUUCAUCAAUAUUUCUGCUAAUUUUUUGUAGAAAUUUAGGAAUGAUGUUUACUUCCUUUGGCUAUGGUGUUUUUGCAUGGAAAAUCUAACAAAGCUGCACGUACAAGUAAUAUUAGAUGUAUAUGCUGUAUAAAUUAAAGAUAUAACAGUAGGUACAAAUUUAGAAACCACAUAUUGGGUUUCAAUAUCUCAUGAUGAUGCAUAUUCUUUCUCUACUAGAUGUGACAGGCCUAAACAUAUCUUUCUAACAGAUAUAUUUUUUUCCAUACAUUGUGAAAAUACAAUGUUGACUGAAUUUAGUGUGAAAUCCAGUAGAUAAGAAUGUGAGUUAUUUCCAUACUUAAUUUCUUGUGGGUUUUCUAAAUCCAGUAGCUCUAUUCAUGUAUUGUUGGGAGGAAGGCAGAUGGGAAGUAUAGAGAAAGGGUUGUUUCUCAUAUUCUUCUCUUACCUAUGUAUUUGUUCAACUUCAUCCCCUCUUCAGAAUGGUCUUACUUUCUCCAGGUUGGUUGAGAACCUACAAAGCCCAGCUGGCUAACCUCCUCUCAAUCUUCUCAUUCACUCCUUCCCAAAUUGAAACAGAUUUAUGUGAGGCAUUCCGUGUCUUUUGACCCAAUUUUUGUCUUAAAGAUAUUAUUACAACAAGAGAACAAAACAAUCUGUUUGGGAAAAGCCGG
This is a long non-coding RNA of Carya illinoinensis, 829 nucleotides long. RefSeq lists it as uncharacterized. The transcript has 3 exons. Lineage: Eukaryota; Viridiplantae; Streptophyta; Magnoliopsida; Fagales; Juglandaceae. The record is from RefSeq and is a predicted model, not a curated record.